Microplitis mediator is the source of this 972-nucleotide long non-coding RNA. RefSeq lists it as uncharacterized. The transcript has 4 exons. Lineage: Eukaryota; Metazoa; Arthropoda; Insecta; Hymenoptera; Braconidae. The record is from RefSeq and is a predicted model, not a curated record.
CUGAGUGUGAAAAAUUGAAAAUACUUAAGACAAGAAAUGGCGAAAAGUUGGGAAGAUGACCCUGAAGGAGUUUAGGAUUGCGUGAGGUCGUCGUUCUUGAUGUCUACGCUACGUCUUGAUGACCAUAGAGUAGACGGGAGGUGGUUCAGUAAGAGUAUGCGACAGCUGCACCAGCCACCGAAAAAAAUAAAGUGGAAAUUUUUGCAAGCGGCCGGUGAUAAAUCUGGAGGUUGAAAGCUUAACAAAGAGCACAAGUAUUAAAAAUAUGUGUAUUUAUUUAUGAUAAAUUUUUCUAGAGCUUACUCUCGGAGUCUCGAACAAUCUAAAAUGCUUGAAACUUACACAGGCCGAUGUAGUUACGAGUGUAGGAUAAGUAAGCACAGGUUGGUGCGCUGGGUGGUUCUGCUGGCGAAAUGCCAACCAACCGCCGAAUUUAGAACCGCGGAUGCUGACUAACUCGCGUGGCAUUCAUUCAAUCGUUUGCCUCGACUCUUCAACUUGUAUCUGUCCUUCGGCGCUAUCUGUUUAGACUUAAGUCUUAUGCUCAAAGCUUUUAUCUCCGGAAUUUAAAUCUGAAGAAAAUUCCAUCGUUUCUUAAAGUGAGAUUAAGGAGACUUUUACAUACUUUACGAUCUCGCGCGUGCCGACAAUCUUACAGCGGAGCAAAGGGCGAGGAAGGAACUGCACUGGGGUUGUAAAAAUAGAUGCUUUAUACUCUGUGCCUUGUAUUGCUUACUGGAAUAAUUGAUGGAAACAAUUAAAUUAAAAUUUUAUACUUUUUUGUAUUCAAAUUGACUUGUUUAUUUUUCAAAUAUUUUAUUGGUUACAUUUUAAUGAGUUUUUGAUUUAAAGUGUCAUUAAAAUUUUAAAUUCAAAUUUUUUUGUUUUGACUCGGAUUAUUUAAAAAUUUAUAUUUUUUCAGGUUUUUAAAAAUAUUCAAUUUUUAUUUAAAAUUCACGCACUAACGUGAUC